RNAcentral lists this ribosomal RNA (245 nucleotides) under uncultured bacterium. RNAcentral describes it as "partial 16S ribosomal RNA". It matches the Rfam family "Bacterial small subunit ribosomal RNA", at positions 524 to 768 of the family's 1533-position model. The record is from RNAcentral.
UACGGGGGGUGCAAGCGUUGUUCGGAAUUAUUGGGCGUAAAGAGCGUGUAGGCGGCGUGAUAAGUCAGAUGUGAAAGCCCUGGGCUUAACCCAGGAAGUGCAUUUGAAACUGUCUUGCUUGAGUACGGGAGAGGGAAGAGGAAUUCCUGGUGUAGAGGUGAAAUUCGUAGAUAUCAGGAGGAACACCGGUGGCGAAGGCGACUUCCUGGCCCGAUACUGACGCUGAGACGCGAGAGCGUGGGGAG